RNAcentral lists this transfer RNA (71 nucleotides) under Aneides hardii (Sacramento mountain salamander). RNAcentral describes it as "tRNA-Ser". It matches the Rfam family "tRNA". Rfam says of the family: Transfer RNA (tRNA) molecules are approximately 80 nucleotides in length. Lineage: Eukaryota; Metazoa; Chordata; Amphibia; Caudata; Plethodontidae. The record is from RNAcentral.
AAGAGAGUGGCAGAUCGGUUAUGUGGCUAAUUUGAAAUUAGUAGAAGGGGGUUCAAUUCCUUCUUCUCUUG